UCGAAACCUGCCCAGCAGAACGACCNGCGAACAUGUUUAUCUAUCUUGGGCGUCGCGGCGUUGCUCAGGUACCUUGUGUGCCACCUCGUCCCUCGCCCAAGCUGGGCACCGCCNACUUGUGGGCUGGUUGCUUGGCACUUAAACGAACCCCGGCGYNAAAAGCGUCAAGGAACAUAAACUCAAUGUGCGCGCCCUCNUCUUGCCCGGUUAGCCGGUGCAUGGGUGUGGUGCCAUGUCUUAACAAUA
This 246-nucleotide ribosomal RNA is filed under the name Psammosilene tunicoides. Lineage: Eukaryota; Viridiplantae; Streptophyta; Magnoliopsida; Caryophyllales; Caryophyllaceae. The record is from RNAcentral.